UUGAGAAUUUUGCGCAAUGGGGGCAACCCUGACGCAGCGACGCCGCGUGGACGAUGAAGGCCUUUGGGUUGUAAAGUCCAAAUAACAGGGAAGAAUAAGCGGGUAUUAAUACUGCCCGUGAUGACGGUACCUGUCUAAAGCCCCGGCUAAUUACGUGCCAGCAGCCGCGGUAAUACGUAUGGGGCGAGCGUUGUUCGGAAUUAUUGGGCGUAAAGGGCGUCUAGGCGGGGGAUUAAGUUAGGUGUGAAAGCCAUGGGCUCAACCCGUGAAUUGCACUUAAAACUGGUUCUCUUGAGUUCGGGAGAGGAGAGCGGAAUUCCAGGUGUAGCGGUGAAAUGCGUAGAUAUCUGGAAGAACACCAGUGGCGAAGGCGGCUCUCUGGCCUAGAACUGACGCUAAAGCGCGAAAGCGUGGGGAGCGAACGGG
This 426-nucleotide ribosomal RNA is filed under the name uncultured bacterium. Its description in RNAcentral is "bacterial SSU rRNA". It matches the Rfam family "Bacterial small subunit ribosomal RNA", at positions 355 to 776 of the family's 1533-position model. The record is from RNAcentral.